Non-coding RNA from Amanita rubescens, 87 nucleotides. NCBI's taxonomy places the organism in Eukaryota, Fungi, Basidiomycota, Agaricomycetes, Agaricales, Amanitaceae. The record is from the annotation of a GenBank genome assembly.
UCGGAUAUGGUGUAAAGGCUAACAUUGCCGCCUCUCACCGUGAGAGACUGAACGCGGCAGCUCGGGGUUCGAUUCCCCGUAUCCGAA